This 507-nucleotide ribosomal RNA is filed under the name uncultured Glomeromycotina. RNAcentral describes it as "SSU rRNA". It matches the Rfam family "Eukaryotic small subunit ribosomal RNA", at positions 569 to 1078 of the family's 1831-position model. Lineage: Eukaryota; Fungi; Glomeromycota. The record is from RNAcentral.
AGCAGCCGCGGUAAUUCCAGCUCCAAUAGCGUAUAUUAAAGUUGCUGCAGUUAAAAGGCUCGUAGUUGAAUUUCGGGACCAUCAUGUCGGUCGUGCCUCGGCACGUACUGGCAUUGUUGGUUUCUCCCUUCUGACGAACCAUGAUGUCAUUAAUUUGGUGUCUUGGGGAAUCAGGACUGUUACUUUGAAAAAAUUAGAGUGUUUAAAGCAGGCUCACGCUUGAAUACAUUAGCAUGGAAUAAUGAAAUAGGACGUUUGAUUCUAUUUUGUUGGUUUCUAGGAUCGACGUAAUGAUUAAUAGGGAUAGUUGGGGGCAUUAGUAUUCAAUUGUCAGAGGUGAAAUUCUUGGAUUUAUUGAAGACUAACUACUGCGAAAGCAUUUGCCAAGGAUGUUUUCAUUAAUCAAGAACGAAAGUUAGGGGAUCGAAGACGAUCAGAUACCGUCGUAGUCUUAACCAUAAACUAUGCCGACUAGGGAUCGGAUGAUGUUAAUUUUUUAAUGACUCA